GAUGAAGAACGCAGCGAAACGCGAUAAGUAAUGUGAAUUGCAGAAUCCAGUGAAUCAUCGAAUCUUUGAACGCACAUUGCGCCCCUUGGUAUCCCGAGGGGCAUGCCUGUUCGAGCGUCAUUUCACCACUCAAGCCUGGCUUGGUGUUGGGCGACGUCCCCUUUGGGGACGCGCCUCGAAACGCUCGGCGGCGUGGCACCGGCUUUAAGCGUAGCAGAAUCUUUCGCUUUGGAAGUCGGGGCCCCGUCUGCCGGAAGACCUACUCGCAAGGUUGACCUCGGAUCAGGCAGGGAUACCCGCUGAACUUAAGCAUAUCAAUAAGCGGAGGA
Molecule: unclassified non-coding RNA, 329 nt
Filed under: soil metagenome
Description: partial contains 5.8S ribosomal RNA, internal transcribed spacer 2, and large subunit ribosomal RNA
Rfam family: 5.8S ribosomal RNA (bases 1-120)
Source: RNAcentral